This 3797-nucleotide ribosomal RNA is filed under the name Patescibacteria group bacterium. Its description in RNAcentral is "23S ribosomal RNA". It matches the Rfam family "Bacterial large subunit ribosomal RNA". The record is from RNAcentral.
AUGGUUGGCAAUAAGGGCGAAUGGUGGAUGCCUAGACAUCAAAAGGCGAUGAAGGACGUGGCGUAGCAACGAUACGCCCCGGGGAGGUGCGUAGCAACCUGCGAUCCGGGGAUUUCCGAAUGGGGAAACCCAAUUGAGCAAACCUCAAUUUUUCGGCGUAAGCCGAAAGCAAACCCGCUGAAGUAAAACAUUCCAGUAAGCGGAGGAAUAAAGAACAAACGUUAUUCCCUUAGUAUCGGCGAGAGAAAAGGGAAGAGCCCAAACUAAGCUCUAAGUUUUAGAGCUUGGGGUAAAAAGAAAAAAACUCUGUUCUUUGAAUCGCCGAGUUUCCGAUCCGCCGUCUGGCGGAGUCGGAGAUUUGGCGGUUUACGGAAUAAGGAGAAGUUACAAAUUUUUCGGUUAGUCGAAGCCCACUGGAAAGGGGCGCCAAAGACGGUGAUAGCCCGGUAGGCGAAAACCGGAGAACUUCUUAGUUUUUUUGCAGCAAGAGUUAAAUCAAGCUGCAUCUUGAGUACUUCGAGGUCAAACAGUCUCGAAGGAAUUUGCCAGUACUAUCUGGUAAGGCUAAAUACUUUUGAUGAUCGAUAGUGAACAAGUACCGUGAGGGAAAGGCGAAAAGCAGGCCGGUGAGGCCGUUGAAAUAGAACCUGAAACCAUUUGUCUACAAGGAACUGAAGUCCGAACGUUUUUUCGAGAGGAAGAACGAGGACAACAGUGUGCCUAUUGAAGAAUGAGCCAACGACUUAUUUUUGCAUUGCUCGUGUAAGUACCUAAAUGGUAUGUACGCAUAGGGAAACCGAGUCUUAAUAGGGCGAAAUAAAGCAGUGCAGUAUAGACCCGAAGCCAGAUGAGCUUGCCUUGGGCAGGGUGAAAGUUCGCGAAAGCGGACUGGAGGCCCGAACCGGUUGGUUGUUCAAAACCUUCGGAUGACCUGAGGUAAGGAGUGAAAAGCUAAUCGAAUCUGGUAAUAGCUGGUUCUCUCCGAAAUAGUUUUAGGACUAGCGGUGGAAGUUCCUCUUGGGGGUAGAGCACUGGAUGAUCUGUAAAGGCCGAAAGGCCGACAGAUCAAUCAAACUCCGAAUACCAAGAGUCAAAAUUCCAUUAGUCAGACUGUGGGGGCUAAGCUCCAUGGUCGCGAGGGCAACAGCCCAGAUCAUCAUCUAAGGUCCCUAAAUCCAUGCUAAGUGUUAAAGGUAGUGUGUCGCCAUAGACAGAUAGUAGGUUGGCUUAGAGGUAGCCAUCCUUUAAAGAGUGUGUAACAACUCACUAUUCGAUGGCGAUGUGCGCCGAAAAUGUACCGGGGCUAAGCAUGGUACCGAAGAUAUGAAUGCCAGUGCAUGGCACUGGAAAUUUCAAAUUCCAAGUAUUUAAUUUCCAAACGUUUGGAAAUUGUAUUUUUGGAGUUUGGAGCUUCCAAUGCUGUGCAUUGGUGUGGUAGGAGAGCAUUCGUAUUGCGUUGAAGCCCGACCCGCGAGGGCGCGUGGAGCGGUACGAAGAGCAAAUGUUGGCAUGAGUAACCACAAUCCCAAUGAGAAAUUGGAACCCCGAAAAUCCAAGGUUUCCGUGGCACUGGCAAUCAACCACGGGUUAGGCGGUCCUAAGGCAAUGGCGAAAGCCGCAGCUGAUGGUCAGACGGUUAAUAUUCCGUCCCUCCCGCAUAAUUACACAUAGUGUGCGAAGGAAAUAAAUCGAAGUGCCUUAUUGGUUUGGCAUCCGUGCUCUAAGGCUCCGGCCGGGAGAGCGGGAAUGCGGAGAAUUUACUCCGCAAACUUCGACGAAUAGCCUUCCGAGAAAAGCGCGGUGUUUAUGUUAUGUGGGAUCCGUACCGGAAACCGACACAGGUGGAUAGGGCGAGAAGCCCAAGGGGAACGAGUGAUUUGCCUCUAAGGAACUCGGCAAAAAAGCGGCCGUAAGUUAGCGAUAUGGCCUGCCCUUCUUCAUUGAAGGGCCGCAGCGAAAGUCUCUCUGGCGACUGUUUACCAAAAACACAGCUCCCUGCGAACUCGCAAGAGGAUGUAUAGGGGGUGACGCCUGACCGAUGCGAGAAGGUCAAGGCUGGGAGUGGUAUGUAGCAAUAUGUACUGCCCACCGGCUCAAGCCCUCGUCAAUGUCAGCGAUAACUAUAAUCGUUCUAAGGUGAAUGCGUUGCUUUAGUAAAACUCAACUAUAUGCUGGAAUAUCUGGAGAAUCCGAGACUACUAUGGUAUAAUACGUCCAUAGAUAUAUUAUGCCAGGUAAAAAAGUUUUCGGUGCAGACAAUCAGCAGGAAAGGCUAAAAAUGGCAAGUUGGAUUUCUGGAUUUACCGAUGGCGAAGGAAGCUUCGUAAUUUCGGUUAUCAAGAAUCCGACCACUCGAUUCGGCAAGCAAAUUUUUCCGGAAUUCGUAAUUACACAAGGCGCUAAAAGUUUAAAAGCGCUAGAAGCGAUAAAAGAAUUUUUUAGUUGUGGCAGUAUCGUUCUGAAUAAACGAUACGAUAAUCAUCAUGAACAUCUUUAUCGCUAUUGCGUAAGGUCAAUUUCGGAAUUGCAAAGCACUAUUAUUCCAUUCUUUGAUAGGUUUCCACUCCGAACAUAUAAAAUAAACGACUUUUCUAUUUUUAAGAAAGUUGUUGCGGAUAUGGCGAGAAAGAAACACCUAACAAAAAAUGGAUGGCAGAAGAUUUUAAAAUUUGCAGGCAAAACGAAUCGAAGAAAGAAACGUUUUUAGAAUCCUCAGAGACUAUAUGUUGGGGUCAGCCCUAAAACCGCAGAGCGGUUCGGGUUUAGAUAAGAUAUAGUCCGAACUGCAUAGCGAUAUGCAGAGUUGUCCGGAAAAGGAGCCGGGCAGAAUAACACAAUUAAGCGCAAUUCCUUUUCGGGUAAGUUCCGAAGCGCACGAAAGGCGUAACGAUCAGAGAACUGUCUCAGAGGCAAGCUCGGUGAAAAUGCGAUUCCCGUGAAGACGCGGGAUACCUGCAGCGGGACGAAAAGACCCCGGAAGCUUUACUGCAGCUUGGUAUUGAUUUUAGAGUUUUACUACGUAGCGUAGUGGUGAGGAUUUGAAGCGGUGCUCUCGGGCGCCGUGGAUCCGACAAUGAAACAGCCAUUUUUAAAACUUUAACGUCUAACCAGUGAGAAACCUAACAAUGGAAAUCUCACCGGGACAGUGCUUGGUAGGCAGUUUAAAUGGGGCGUUUUCCUCCAAAAGAGUAACGGAGGAGUUUAUUAAGGUCGGCUUAGCCCGGAUGGAAAUCGGGCAGGACGUGUAAACGCAAAAGCCGGCUUAACUGCGAGACAUACAAGUCGAGCAGAUGCGAAAGCAGAAGUUAGUGACCCGACGAUUCUUCAUAGAAAGAUCGGAGACACCGGAUAAAAGCUACUCCGGGGAUAACAGGCUGGUGAAGUCCGAGAGUUCCUAUCGACGACUUCGCUCGGCACCUCGAUGUCGGCUCGCCACAGCGCGGGGGUGUAGAAGCUCCCAAGCGUUUGGCUGUUCGCCAAUUAAAGUGGCACGUGAGCUGGGUUCAGACCGUCGUGAGACAGGUCGGUCUCUAUCUGUUGCAGGCGUUAAUACUUGAGGGGAGUUGGCCCUAGUACGAGAGGACUGGGCUGAACUGACCUCUGGUCUACCGGCUUUGGUACCAACUGAAGCGCCGGGUAGCUAUGUCGGGAAGGGAUAAGCGCUGAAAGCAUCUAAGCGCGAAGCCUACCCCAAGAUUAGGUAUCAUGUGUUCGUUGAAGACUACGACGUUGAUAGGCUCUAGGUGUAAGGCCCGCAAGGGUUUAAGCCAAGGAGUACUAAUACACGCCAACCAUCC